RNAcentral lists this ribosomal RNA (258 nucleotides) under uncultured Leptotrichia sp. RNAcentral's name for it is "partial 16S ribosomal RNA". It matches the Rfam family "Bacterial small subunit ribosomal RNA", at positions 97 to 355 of the family's 1533-position model. Lineage: Bacteria; Fusobacteriati; Fusobacteriota; Fusobacteriia; Fusobacteriales; Leptotrichiaceae. The record is from RNAcentral.
GGCGGACGGGUGAGUAACGCGUAAAGAACUUGCCCUUUAGACUGGGAUAACAGAGGGAAACUUCUGAUAAUACUGGAUAAGUUAGUAUAUCGCAUGAUAUGCAAAUGAAAGCUACGGCACUAAAGGAGAGCUUUGCGUCCUAUUAGCUAGUUGGUAAGGUAAGAGCUUACCAAGGCGAUGAUAGGUAGCCGGCCCGAGAGGGUGGACGGCCACAAGGGGACUGAGAUACGGCCCUUACUCCUACGGGAGGCAGCAGUA